UCUUUAUCUUUGCUUUUAAUUUAUGCAGCAGAAUUACUUGUUCAUUGGUAUGAGUAAUUUUCAAUAUUUUGCCAAACAGCCUGUGGCAACUGAAAACACAAGUUGCAUACAUUAGACUUUUCUUUUUGAGUGCAAUGCAACAAAAACAAAUUAUGCUGCAAACCCAACUUCAUUGAACUGCAGGCACUCAUAACUACUUAAAAAUACUUUUAAAAUAUCUGUAUUUAUGAAAACAAAUUUGACCAACAUAUUUGGGAGGCAAAUAGUAGAGCAAAGCAUAUCUUAUGACUAUAAUAAUUUUUUAUCGUACUUUGUUGUUAUUUAUGUUUUUUAUCUCCCUACUCUGACAAAAUGCUUUAUAUAUCAUUCAGUCCAUCUUAUUCUAGAACCUACUAUAUUUGAAACCCAAUAAAUAGUUGUAGACCAAUUUUCUUACUGUUACAUAUUCAGAUUAUUCCUUAAAGUUCACCCUACAAGUAAACUUUCCAUCAAUUUCAUAAUGUGGUGAAAACUCUCUAGUAGCUCAGAACAUUCUUGGUGGUCUCAAUGUAUUAAAAGUAUGCAGUCAGAUACUGAUGUCCCUGAGUCCUGCAGAUAGCUAACAAAGCUGAAGCCCACAGGCUAGUGAGCACCAGCUGAGAGCAACUUUCUAUAGACUUUGUGGGCAGUCCAAGAGAGACAGGAUCUGAGAUGUGAUGAUAUGUCCUCUGGCAGCAGCAAUAUCUGAUAUCGAGCUCUGCUAGGUGGUGCUGAGUGUGGCCUCUGAGGUGUCUUAUUAUCUGGACACCUGCUUCCUUCACCGGCUGUAGAGAACACAGUAUCCAUUAAAGGAGCUGAAGGAGGUGCUAGAGGAGUUUACAUGGCAGGAGUCCAGGAAGCUCUGCAGCAGUCCAAAAUGAGGUUGGGGCACAUGAUACACUUGUUCAUCCCUAUUCUCUAUCUUCACACAUAUGCAUAUCUGUCCUUCCGUGGCUGCUGUAUCCUUGUGAUGGGAUCCAAUCCAGCUGCAGUCUUGCUCUCCCAAUGCAUGCUCAUUCUGCAAAUCAGAGCUUCAACGUAUUGCUACGAAAAAUUCUGACUGGUCUUGAAAUCCAUUGACAUCAUCACAAGAAAAUUCAACAUGACAUCGUCAUGAACAGAAACGGAUGAUUGCUUCAUAUUCUUAAAUAUAAUUUCCAACUAUGGUGAAAUUUUGAAUGGUUGUAAAAACUGUUUUUGCAUUUUUGUGCCUCACUUAUUUUGUUAAUGGAGACUAUCUAGAGUUUGAAGUAAUUCUCAUCAAAAAAUCGAUCAGUAAUUAUUUCAAAUAUAAAACUGAUAUCGAAAAAUUGAGUUAAUGAAAAUAAACUCAAUUUUUUCAUAAAAAUAUGAAAUUAUAUGGGACUUUAUAUACAUGGAAAGUGAAUAAUUUCUAUUAUUUUUCUAUUUGAUAUUUAUCAUAUUUAUGUAAUUAAAAAACAUAAUUAAAUUUUAAACUAAAUUAAACUGAGCUCCAGGAAGACUUAUCAUUUUCUCUGAACCGUGACUCUGAAAAUUUGGAAAGCACCGUGCAAGAGGGAUUUUCAGUGAUUCACAGGAGUGCAAGAUUCUGCAAAGUACUUUCAAAACGGAGCGUGAGGUCUUUGCUACUGCCUUUAUGGCAUGCAAAUCACUCAGCCUCAACUCAGUUCCUUCCUCCAAUGUAAAAAUACUACAAAAACAACAUCUCACGCUUCCAUCAAAUGGGACUAUGUGUGAUAUUUUACACUGGACUAUACAAUAGACUGGAAAAGUGAUCCGCAGAGAGGCUCAUUGCUGUAAGUUCACUCCCUGUACCAACUGUCUUGCACAAAGCUGCCACCCUGAUGUCUUCUUCCAACAUUUCCCCUAGUUGGACUUCAAACUUUCCUUCUUCCAGCCUGUGCUGGGACCAAGAGGCCCGUCUAGAGCAGCUGCCCAGCAUUCGGAUCCGACAUCCUUUUCCCUUUCCUCUGGACGACUUGGAUGCGCGCCAGCCCAGCCCGGGUCUCCAGGUUCAGCUGCGGAAGCUUCCCACAUGGUGCCCGUCGAUUGGGAUGCGGCUGGUGGGCUCCGUCCAGUGUCCUUGUGCCUUCUCUGCAGGUGUCCCAGCAGGUAGAGGAGGAGACCGGUGGCUGGUGUUCCUGCAAGGCGGGGCUGGGGCUCCUCGAUGUCCUUGCGCUCGCACUGCAGGUUCUGCGCCCCAGGCCCCGGCAGGGACGGAAACAGGCCGGGAAGCAGUGACACCUGGGGCCGUCAGUCAUCCAGGAGCCGCCGCCACCCGCCCCACCCCCAGUCUCCGCGGGAGGUGUUUGUCUUCGUCUCUGCUCCCGGCUCUUUCUCUUUCACUUUUCUUUUCGCCGGGGUUUGGGAAUCCGGGUGGAAGGCGCCCGGGGGAAUCCCAGCUGACUCGCUCACUGCCUUCGAAGUCCGGCGCCCCGCCGGGAGGGAACUGGGUGGCCGCACCCUCCCGGCUGCGGUGGCUGUCGCCCCCCACCCUGCAGCCAGGACUCGAUGGAGAAUCCAUUCCAAUAUAUGGCCAUGUGGCUCUUUGGAGCAACGUUCCAUCAUAUUCCAUGCUGGUGAUGUCACACGGAGCACAGAAAUCAAUGUUAGCAGAUAGCCAGCCCAUAAAGAGCGUAUUGUGUUGUAGGAGGCAUCGUGGAUGGAUGGCUGCUGGAAACCCCUUGCCAUAGCCAGCUCUUCUUCAAUACUUAAGGAUUUACCGUGGCUUUGAGUAAUGAGAAUUUCGAAACCACAUUUGAGAAGUAUUUCCAUCCAGUGCUACUUGUGUUUACUUCUAAACAGUCAUUUUCUAACUGAAGCUGGCAUUCAUGUCUUCAUUUUGGGAUGCAGCUAAUAUACCCAGUUGGCCCAAAGCACCUAACCUAUAGUUAUAUAAUCUGACUCUCAGUUCAGUUUUACUCUACUAAUGCCUUCAUGGUAUUGGGAACCAUAGAUUUGUGCAGGUAAUUCUUCAUCAUAAGACAGAUUAGUGUUGACUAUCAUGCUUCUGUGUAAGAUCCAUCAGGAAGUGAGUGAUUAUUUUUCCUCAAGCUCUAAGAAUCAUUCCAAUGUUACUUGGUCAGUAUAAGUGUAUUUUGUCUGGAUAUUAAAUUUUUAUGAAAUUUGUGAAAGUGAGUAAGUAUAUGAUCAUUCAGCCUACACUGGGAUGAAGUCUGUACUGUUUAUGGAGAAAGCUGCUGCAAGCAUAGUGAGAGUGUGAGCAACAUGAAAGGGGCAUGUUUAAUGUAUUGUAAAAAAAAAUUUACUGUCAAAAUCAUUACAUGAAAAUAAUUGUUACUUAUUUUAAGAAUUUUACCUAUUUAUUAGACUUCAAAGUCUCUGUAAAUCUCUACUUAAAGGAAACUAGUAAUUCAUUCAAAAUCAUUUAUUGAGCAUUGCCACACAUCUGGCACUGUUUCUAUUUCAUUGUGAUAAAUUGAGCCAGUUUAUUUAUAAAGUAUGCCUACAAUUAGGCUUUUCUCUAAUCCGGGUUGGUGAAGCCUCAAGUUAUCAUAAAAUGCCAAAGUUGUACUAUAUGCUGAAUGUUUACGUUCAGUUACAAGGCUGUUGAAUGCACAGAGGCAAGGAUAACACUGAUUUUUUCACUGGUCAGAAUAAAAAAUUAUUGAUUGCUCUUUUGCUUAUAGUAUUCAUCAAGAUGAAUAGGCUCCUUCAAAAUGCUUUGC
This is an RNA transcript of Symphalangus syndactylus (siamang), 3689 nucleotides long. It is a transcript of the gene named interleukin 15, with no coding region annotated. The record is from RefSeq and is a predicted model, not a curated record. NCBI's taxonomy places the organism in Eukaryota, Metazoa, Chordata, Mammalia, Primates, Hylobatidae.